CAACCAUAUGCCAAUCUUGAUGCUCAUGGCAUGUUUUAUGGUCGGACAAAACCCCUAGAAUCAAUCAUACCAUCCAAGAUUGGCUCUAUUGCAUCUGCUGGACUUAAUGCUGAUUGUUUGAUUGUAAAGACAUCAUCAGAUUUACCUGCAAGUUCGAGGAAAACCCCAGUGAGCCGACCUGCUAGGCACCUUGGACCUCCACCUGGUUUUAGCUCAGUUCCUUCUAAACAAGUAAAUGAGCCCACAUCUGGCUCAGAUUCAAUGACUGAGAAUCCACUAAUGGAUGACUAUAGCUGGUUGGAUGAAUAUCAGUUACCAUCAUCAAUG
RNAcentral lists this long non-coding RNA (327 nucleotides) under Vitis vinifera (wine grape). RNAcentral describes it as "long non-coding RNA (VVIN_LNC001912)". Lineage: Eukaryota; Viridiplantae; Streptophyta; Magnoliopsida; Vitales; Vitaceae. The record is from RNAcentral.